RNAcentral lists this ribosomal RNA (253 nucleotides) under uncultured bacterium. RNAcentral describes it as "partial 16S ribosomal RNA". It matches the Rfam family "Bacterial small subunit ribosomal RNA", at positions 524 to 776 of the family's 1533-position model. The record is from RNAcentral.
UACGUAGGUGGCAAGCGUUGUUCGGAAUCACUGGGCUUACAGGGUGCGUAGGCGGCUUGUCAAGUAGGGUGUGAAAGCCCCCGGCUCAACCGGGGAAUUGCGCCCUAAACUGGCGAGCUGGAGUGAGAUAGGGGUGUGCGGAACUUCCGGUGGAGCGGUGAAAUGUGUUGAUAUCGGAAGGAACGCCGGUGGCGAAAGCGGCACACUGGAUCUCAACUGACGCUGAGGCACGAAAGCCAGGGGAGCGAACGGG